CGUAGGGUGCAAGCGUUGUCCGGAAUUAUUGGGCGUAAAGAGCUCGUAGGCGGUUUGUCGCGUCGACUGUGAAAACCCGAGGCUUAACCUCGGGCCUGCAGUCGAUACGGGCAGACUAGAGUUCGGUAGGGGAGACUGGAAUUCCUGGUGUAGCGGUGAAAUGCGCAGAUAUCAGGAGGAACACCGGUGGCGAAGGCGGGUCUCUGGGCCGAUACUGACGCUGAGGAGCGAAAGCGUGGGGAGCGAACAGGAUUAGAUACCCUGGUAGUCCACGCCGUAAACGUUGGGCGCUAGGUGUGGGGGUCUUUCCACGAUCUCCGUGCCGCAGCUAACGCAUUAAGCGCCCCGCCUGGGGAGUACGGCCGCAAGGCUA
Molecule: ribosomal RNA, 373 nt
Filed under: uncultured organism
Description: bacterial SSU rRNA
Rfam family: Bacterial small subunit ribosomal RNA
Source: RNAcentral